RNAcentral lists this long non-coding RNA (1164 nucleotides) under Echeneis naucrates (live sharksucker). RNAcentral describes it as "lncRNA (ENSENLG00000016183.1)". The record is from RNAcentral. Lineage: Eukaryota; Metazoa; Chordata; Actinopteri; Carangiformes; Echeneidae.
UUGGAACUAAUUAGCAUGUCUGGCUCAGCUAACUAACAAAUCAGACAGUCAAUUAGCCUCGGGCUAGCCUCAGAGGAAGAGUCAAGAUGACAAGCUGUGCUAACGGAGCUAAUGUGAGCACAUGGUUGCCAUAGUUACACUAUUAUUCCCUCAAUACAUUUUCUUUUUUAUCGUCAAAGUCUCUCUGGCCACAGAGGUGGAGUCAGGGCUCCUCUAUGGUCACCUGAACUCAUUAUGGAAUGCACAGGAGUAGAUUAUACUGCAGGACCAGUUUGACAGGUUUUUUUUUUUGUUGUUGUUGUCCAUUGUUCCCUCACUACAGCCAUUAAUGGAAAAUACAUCCAGCCUCCUACCAUCAUCCAGUGUGAUCUCCUGGAGGCCCAAGGAUCCCAGAUUUGGUUGGUCUUCAGGCUCCUGCUUGAUGCUCAGCACUUUUCCGGUGCUGGAGAGGAGAGGCUGUCCCUUCUGGGCGUCAGCAGGAGUCCCAAACGCUCUGCUGGGACUCAGAGAUGGAGAUUUUAACCUCUGAGGCCCAACAGGGGUGGCCUGGGGAGGAAGCGAGGAGGUGCGCGGGGCGAUGGUGAAGGUUUGAAGAGGGACAGAAGAGGCCUGGGGAGGGAUGACCGAAGUCUGGAGUGGAAUCAAGGUCUGAUGGGGUACAGAGGAGAGAUCGGACAUCCAGCUCCUGGACGACAUGCUGCUGCAGGGGCUCGGGCAGAGAACCGGGUCCCGGUAGCAGGGGUCCAGCUGCAGGUACAGCUGGCCCCUGGGCCAGGACGCAUCAGGGUAGCCCCCUUCUGCCCCACCCACUGCCAAAGCCUCAAGGCCAGUGUCGGGCUCCACAUGGCUGUUCGGGGCUAUGGAGGUGAUCUGGAUACUGGGGCAGUCAAACAGUCUUGGGUUCCUCUGGGCCCCAUACUGGGGCCCCUGGAUGUGGCAGCCUACAUACUGGUAGGUGUCUGCGGGGGAAAAAUAUAGAGGCUGCAGCUCCUGGCUGACGGGCUGCCCAGCCACAGCCUGUGUGGAGGAGGAAGGUGGCCUCACGCUGACAUCAGGAGCUGCAGGGAGGAGAAGAGCCAGCAUGUAAAUCUGGGAUGUGACUUCGUUUGCAUUGCAAACACACUCUUUUAUUGUGUUUUCUUGCCAUGUUACCCCAUUCAGAGC